This 162-nucleotide unclassified non-coding RNA is filed under the name uncultured Mariannaea. RNAcentral's name for it is "sequence contains ITS2". Lineage: Eukaryota; Fungi; Ascomycota; Sordariomycetes; Hypocreales; Clavicipitaceae. The record is from RNAcentral.
CAACCCUCAAGCUCCGGCUUGGUGUUGGGGAUCGGCAGCCCGGCUUCGCGCCGACGCCGUCCCCCAAAUGCAGUGGCGGUCACGCUGUAGCUUCCUAUGCGUAGUAGCACACCUCGCACUGGAGAGCAGCGCGGCCACGCCGUAAAACCCCUACUUUUGUGG